GAACCCCCUACGGCAAAUUUCCAACUCCCGUAACUCCUCCGUCUGAGCUCCAAUCGCCGCACCGUUUGCGACCACGCGUUCACCGCAUUGAACUCUACGUUUCUACCGGUACAAUUUCAUAGGAUCCAAUUAACUUGAGAAAAACGUUCACUCUUGCUUAUGUGAAGCUUGGGUAAGGUUGUGAAUAAAUAAUUGGAGCUUGGAAUUGUGAAUAUUGGAACUUGGAAGAAGUUGAUUAGUUGAAUUUUGAAGGGGCUUCCUUGGUUUUAAAUAAUUUUCUUUGGUCGUUACGUGAAAAUCGGCCAAGGUAUGGUUUAUGUUUCUUGCAUUUAAUAUAUAAUGUUCUGUGAAAACUUAGGCUAGAUGACC
Molecule: non-coding RNA, 369 nt
Organism: Arachis ipaensis
Lineage: Eukaryota; Viridiplantae; Streptophyta; Magnoliopsida; Fabales; Fabaceae
Source: RefSeq, a predicted model, not a curated record